This is a long non-coding RNA of Anastrepha ludens (Mexican fruit fly), 1017 nucleotides long. RefSeq lists it as uncharacterized. The transcript is spliced from 3 exons. NCBI's taxonomy places the organism in Eukaryota, Metazoa, Arthropoda, Insecta, Diptera, Tephritidae. The record is from RefSeq and is a predicted model, not a curated record.
CCUUUUUAAAAUUUGUCAAACUCGAAAACACCACAUUGGUAAAAAAGUUACGGAACAACUGCCAGAUGACGCUCUAAGGCAACUGAUUUGAGUUGCGUUUCUUUCUUUUGUUAGGUUUUUCCACCUGUGAUCAACAUUCCUGCCGAAGUUUUAUUGCCUUUGCUUGACAUUUGUGAAAGUUGCGGCUUCUUGCUAGAGAACGUGAGUCCAUCGAGGAUAUCGAAUGUAGUGGCAGCGCAGCCCUUCGACUUCAAAACCUGAUGAGAGAAAAGUUGAUCAGUAACCGCAAAUUAACCAUCAGAGAGCUGACAAAGGACUUGAACAUUGCUUUUGGAUCCGUUCAGGGCAUUGUAAUUAAAUAUUUGGGUUUUCGCCGUGUAGCAACAAAGUUGGUUCCAAAGGACCUGAAUUUCAUGCAAAAAAGGGGCCGCGUUGAAAUCGCCAUUACUAGAGACGGGACGUGGCUAUAUGAGAACGACAUGCAAUCAAGACCUCAGUAGAGCAAUUUUCAGUAAAAAAAAUCACGAUGUUCAUGCUUUUUAUGGAUUACAACGGUAUUGUCAACACAAAUUUUUGCAGAUGGUCAGACAGCUAAUAAGAUCUAUUAUUUGGGCGUUAUGAGACGUUUACGGAAAGCAAUUCGCCAAAAAAGAAAAGUUUUGUGGGAAAACAACUCGUGAAUUUUGUGCCAUGGUGACACACCAUCACAGGGCCCCAUAGAGCCAUUAUUAUCUGUGAAUUACUGACCAAAAACGAAACGAAUACCAUCAAACAGCCAUUGAAUUGACCUGAUGAUGAGUAUCUGCAAUUAUUUCUGUUUGAUCGAGUCAAGCAACAGCUACAGGGAGCCGAAAGCUAUGAAAUAAGUUUUAUUCUAUCCUAAUGUACUUAUUUAGUUUUGUAGAUAAGUUUUUAGAUCGUGAUCAGAUUUUAAUGAUAAUCUCAGGCUAAAUCAUCUACUCAGAAAUUCAGGUUAUUUCAGAAAUACCGUCGAGACUGGAUAAAUAUCGGUUUAGU